GACGAACGCUGGCGGCGUGCUUAACACAUGCAAGUCGAACGGAAAGGCCCUGCUUUUGUGGGGUGCUCGAGUGGCGAACGGGUGAGUAACACGUGAGUAACCUGCCCGUGACUUUGGGAUAACUUCAGGAAACUGGGGCUAAUACCGGAUAGAAGCUCCUGCUGAAUGGUGGGGGUUGGAAUGUUUCGGGGGUUGGGGAUGGACUUGCGGCUUAUCAGCUGGUUGGUGGGGUAGUGGCUUACCAAGGCUCUGCCGGGUAGGCGGCCUGAGAGGGUGGCCGGCGACAGUGGGACUGAGAUACGGCGCAGACUGCUACUGGAGGCAGCAGUGGGGAGUAUUGCACAGUGGGCGGGAGCCUGAUGCAGCGGCGCCGCGUGCGGGAUGACGGGCUUCGGGUUGUAAACCGCUGUGGCCUGUGACGAAGCGGGAGUGACGGUAAUGGGUAAAGAAGCACCGGCUAACUACGUG
This 468-nucleotide ribosomal RNA is filed under the name uncultured bacterium. RNAcentral describes it as "partial 16S ribosomal RNA". It matches the Rfam family "Bacterial small subunit ribosomal RNA", at positions 28 to 507 of the family's 1533-position model. The record is from RNAcentral.